GCCGGGCGUGGUGGCGCAUGCCUCUAAUCCCAGCUACUAGGAGGCUGAGGCAGGAGAAUUGCUUGAACCCAGGGGGUGGAGAUUGCAGUGAGCUGAGAUCGUGCCACUGCACUCCAGCCUGGGCAACAGAGCAAGACUCUGUCUCUA
Unclassified non-coding RNA from Callithrix jacchus (white-tufted-ear marmoset), 147 nucleotides. It matches the Rfam family "Metazoan signal recognition particle RNA". From Rfam's summary of the family: The signal recognition particle (SRP) is a universally conserved ribonucleoprotein. It is involved in the co-translational targeting of proteins to membranes. The eukaryotic SRP consists of a 300-nucleotide 7S RNA and six proteins: SRPs 72, 68, 54, 19, 14, and 9. The record is from Ensembl. NCBI's taxonomy places the organism in Eukaryota, Metazoa, Chordata, Mammalia, Primates, Cebidae.